Molecule: ribosomal RNA, 1551 nt
Filed under: Apristurus longicephalus (longhead catshark)
Lineage: Eukaryota; Metazoa; Chordata; Chondrichthyes; Carcharhiniformes; Scyliorhinidae
Description: partial 16S ribosomal RNA
Rfam family: Bacterial large subunit ribosomal RNA
Source: RNAcentral
ACCUUAAAGCUAGCCUACACAAUUAAUUAAACCAAACCUUAUUAAUCUAAUUUACACUAAAACCUCUUACUUAAAACAUUUUUUACUUUUUAGUAUGGGCGACAGAACAAAAUCUUAGCGCAAUAGCUUAUGUACCGCAAGGGAGGGCUGAAAAAGAAAUGAAAUAAAUUAUUAAAGUAAUAAAAAGCAGAGAUUUUUCCUCGUACCUUUUGCAUCAUGAUUUAGCUAGAAAAAAUAGGCAAAAAGACUUUAAGUCUACCCCCCCGAAACUAAACGAGCUACUUCGGAGCAGCAUUAUUAGAGCCAACCCGUCUCUGUGGCAAAAGAGUGGGAAGACUCCCAAGUAGCGGUGAAAAGCCUACCGAGUUUAGUGAUAGCUGGUUAUCCAAGAAAAGAACUUUAGUUCUGCAUUAAUUUUUUAGGGCUAAAUAAGACUUACUUAUUAUAGUAGAAUAUAAGAAUUAAUAGUUAUUUAGAAGAGGUACAGCCCUUCUAAAUCAAGAUACAACUUUAUAAGGUGGGAAAUGAUCAUAAUUUUUAAGGUUUUCUCCUCAGCGGGCCUAAAAGCAGCCACCUGAAAAGUAAGCGUCGCAGCUCAAGCCUAAUAUAAACCUAUAAUUUGGAUAUUUACUCAUAACCCCCUUAACUCUAUUGGAUUAUUUUAUAAAAAUAUAAAAGAACUUAUGCUAAAAUGAGUAAUAAAGAGAAUAUAUUCUCCCGACACAUGUAUAUGUCAGAAAGAAUUAAAUCACUGAUAAUUAAACGACCCCAAAUUGAGGCCAUUAUAAAUUAAUAUUAUUUACUAGAAAAGCCUAUUUUACUGCUCGUUAAUCCUACACAGGGGUGUCUUUAGGAAAGAUUAAAAGAAAAUAAAGGAACUCGGCAAACAUAAACUCCGCCUGUUUACCAAAAACAUCGCCUCUUGUUAAAACAUAAGAGGUCCCGCCUGCCCUGUGACAAUGUUCAACGGCCGCGGUAUUUUGACCGUGCAAAGGUAGCGUAAUCACUUGUCUUUUAAAUGAAGACCUGUAUGAAAGGCACCACGAGAGUUUAACUGUCUCUAUUUUCUAAUCAAUGAAAUUGAUCUAUUCGUGCAGAAGCGAAUAUAAUAACAUAAGACGAGAAGACCCUAUGGAGCUUCAAACACUUAGACUAAUUAUGUAAUUUUUUUACACCUUUGGGUACAAAGAAAAAUAUAAUAUUUCUAGUUUAAUUGUUUUUGGUUGGGGUGACCAAGGGGAAAAGAAAAUCCCCCUUAUCGACCGAGCACUUAGUGCUUAAAAAUUAGAAUGACAGCUCUAAUUAAUAAAACAUUUAUCGAAAAAUGACCCAGGAUUUCCUGAUCAAUGAACCAAGUUACCCUAGGGAUAACAGCGCAAUCCUUUCCCAGAGUUCCUAUCGACGAAAGGGCUUACGACCUCGAUGUUGGAUCAGGACACCCUAAUGGUGCAACCGCUAUUAAGGGUUCGUUUGUUCAACGAUUAAUAGUCCUACGUGAUCUGAGUUCAGACCGGAGAAAUCCAGGUCAGUUUCUAUCUAUGAAUAUACUUU